Gallus gallus (chicken) is the source of this 8801-nucleotide RNA transcript. RefSeq lists it as uncharacterized. The record is from RefSeq and is a predicted model, not a curated record. Lineage: Eukaryota; Metazoa; Chordata; Aves; Galliformes; Phasianidae. The transcript is spliced from 5 exons.
CUCUCUUUUUCUGCUUGUCUCUGUGGUGCGUGCUCCCUAGCCAUCCCCCCUACAGCAUUACACCGCCUUUCCCCGCGAGCAGUUCAGGUUCUGAGAAGACCGGAGCCGCCCUUAAGCCGGCAGGAGGCUUUCGCCGGCGCUGCCGACAGAAGCGGGUGGGAGCAAGAGCAGGAGCGGCGGCCGUCCCUGGAAGCUCCGCGGGCAGCGGCUCUCGACGGCCCUCCCGAACCCCCUUCGCAGCACUGCCCCCGCGCUCGUCCCGUCGCCCUCCGCACGCCGCUCUCGAGCCUCCCCAGCGCCGGGUGGUGGUGCUGUGAACAGCGGCGGCAGAGCUCUCGGCGAGGGCGCUGAGAAGCAGCCCGACUUUUCGCCUCCGAAGGGAGAAUGAAGAGCAGUGUUGCCGUUCCCGAGCAGAGUGCUGGCGUCGUGUCAUGCGUCAUCUGUAACCGUGAGGAAGCCGGAGGUCUGCUUUGAGAGAGGCACCGGGGCUGCAACGAGAGCACUUCCCAAGGCCCAUUAUGCCUGCGCUGUCCGAGCGCGGUUCCUGCGAUGAUCUCUGCCAGCUGGGCGCAGUCCCGGUAUGGCAGCCCGUGUCUCAGCUGGUGCCCACACCGCUCCGUUCAGCAACAGGAGCUCCAUGGGGACAAAGGGAACGGGAGGGCGCCUGGAAGGCCUCACCCAAGGGGCCCCGGAGUGCACGUGGCUGCAGCAGGGACCUUAGGUGGACGUGUUUGUAGUUGAAGCCAGGGACUUUUGUACCACGUCUUACACUAGCAGCCCCAAGGAGAUGAGUGUUCUUCCUCGGAAACAAAGGAAAUGUAAUCCAUUCUAUGAUGUUCUUCCUCUGAAAAAGGAAAUUGUGCUAGUUUUACCAACAGCAUCAAAAUCGCAUUAAACGUCACCGGAACAGCUGUACUGUGUGACAAACCAUUUUCCUUGGUACAGGGGCAUGGCUGGAGGGGAGGGGGAGUUCCAAAGUGGGAGGCAGAUGGCUCAAACUGGCUAGGCGCAGCUGCAGUGGGGGAGGCAGAUGGUCCUCACUGGGGGGAAACUGAAUGUAGAGGGGACUGGAUUACUCAAAUUGGAGGGCACAGCUGAAAUGGGGGUGUAGGUGGUCUAAAUUGGGAAGCAGAGCUUGAUAUGCAGCGUGGGUAGAUGACCAAAACUAGGGGGACGCAGGUGCAUAUGGGGUUCGUCUUCAUUCAACACCCAAGCUGGAGGGGACCCACAGGGAUCACAGAUCGGCAGGGGUUGGAAGGAACUUCUGGAGACUGAGUGCAGCAUCCCUGCUAGAGAAGGUUCCCUACAGCAGGUUGCACAGCUAGGCAUCCAAAUGGGUUGGGAAUAUCUGCACAGGAGAUCACUCCACCUCUCUGGACCACCUGUUCCUGUGCUUUGUCACUCUGACAGGAAAGUUAUUCCUCGUGUUUGUAUGGAACUCCCUAUGCUCCAGUUUUCCCUGUUGCCCAUUGUUCUAUCGCUGCACACCACUGAAAAGAGUCUGCCCCCCCCAGCAGUGUGGCAGUGUGGCACUGUAAGGCUCUGGGAGCCCUGCCACAAGUGCAGGAGUUAAUGUGAUUUACGGUGAAUUUAGGAAUCAGUAAGUAAGAGCGUUAAAAACAAAUAACUAAAAAAAAUCCCAAUCCCCCUUCUUAACUGGGGAGAGGCUAGAAACAGGAAUAUUAGACUCUGUUCACGACAUCUAAUUUAGCAACAAACCAAAAAGCACAAACAUACGGUUAUGCCAGAGAAAUGACUAAUAUUAUUUUCAAGGAGACUGUGGGAAAUAAGGACACUACAGAACCUAAAAAAAUAAGCUGGAGCUAUUCCACCAGCCACCAAAUCCUUACGUAGAUGAAAUAGGGUGGAGACCUAUGCUACUCUGAAUCCAAAAUCUACACGUGAAGCCUGCUUACAUUACUUUUUUUCUCAACCAGAUUGAAUUUGUCCAGUAGCUGCCAAAGACAACAAAACGAAGCAAGCAACAAAGAGAGGGAACCGAUUUAGUUUUGAGAAGCUGUCUACAAAACCUAUCCCCGCUAACUGUACUUGUAACAAAACUGCCCAAUUACAGCUGUAAGCACUGACCUGGGAUUGAAUGUAUGUCACCGUUAGGCAGCGAAUGGGUGACAAUGCACACAUUUAACUACUCCCGCCUGUGCAGUCUUUAAAUGCCUGCGUUCUUGUUUAACACAAACCAAGUCUGCCCUGCAAGGCAGAUGCAAGCACAGCUUCUUCCACCACCUGACACUCUUCAGAACGGUGAUGUGCCUCGGAGUGAUGACCAGGUGAAGGAGCAGCCUGUUAGUUCUCCAGUACUGCACACUAACCCAGACAGUAGCAGAGGCAUCUGUGUGUCAGACACAGGCUUGGUAGGUGGACAGGAGCUAUUUGGCAGCUUCUUGUACUUUGAAGUGACAGGUAGAAGGAAAAAAACAACCAGCCCUACAACACAACCAUCCAUGAGUCCUCGGCCUUGGUAAUAACAAGUAACAAAAAUAACAUGGUAAUAACAUAUGACAGUGACAUGAGCCACGCUGACCAACAGCCCCCACCAAGCGUGCCAGCUGGCCGCUGUGCCUGAGCUCCAGCAGGUCCUGCCCAGGUGACCUCAGUUUUCAUCCACAUGCAAGAAGCUUUGAAUUUCAAAAGAAAACACUGAUGGAGGUAAGGACGCAUAUCUUUAAUAACCAAGUGGUAAGGAAGACUGGACAAAAGAAGAAGUCCUCUUAAAUUUCCACCUUCUAUAGCGGUUUUGAGAGAGGAGGACAACGGAAACACUGUUGAGAGAUCUGAACAAAUCAUUCCUGUUAAGUCAGGGAAGGAACAGCAGUGUUCUUCAGGACAGGCUUCUCCCAUGAGCAACCCACAGGCUAGAAAUGGAACACUGAUGCUAGGCAGUUGUGCAGGAAGAGUGCUCCAGCCCCCCUCAGAAAGCAGGCUGUAGCUGCACUCUUUGGCCUGGUUUGUUUUAAAGUCAUGGUGAUACAAAGAGUCUUUCUGGCUGUGGGAGCGCGGGAUGAGACUGAGCUGCCCCGGGCUCCUGCAGACUCCUCUUGGUGUCUGUUUGCAGCAUUUUUCUGCCAUCCAGGCAACUCCCACAGGACGAAGACAGCAGGCCGACGGGAAGCAGCUCCUCCAGCCCAGCCCAGCGUGGCAACCCCUGCCAUGGAAGGCUCUAAGAGAGCACUGCAGGUAGUGGCUCUGCCUUGCUGCAGGGACUGUGUUGCUUGAGACUGCACAAAGCCUCUGUGUAUGUGCGCAGUGAUCUCGAGCAGAGCCCUUGGUGUGCCUUCUGUUUUGCAUUUCUGUCAGCUCCUUCAGCCUCCUUCCAGGAAGCACAGGGUGCUGCACACCUUCCCAGUCUUUUCUCGCCUCCUGGCCUGCCACAGCACACUGAUUUUGACCAGGUGCUGUGAGACAGGAGCACGGCCAUUCUGGAUCCCUGACAGCAGAAGCCGUGGGUCCCCUCAGGCUGCUCUGCUGUGUUUGCCACUAGUUGCAGAUCCUGGCCUGGCUUCUGGGCCCAGGGUCCUUCAGGGCCAAAGUAGCGCAAACAGGCCAGGGGCAGGGCUGCAGAGUUGAAGGAAGGCCCCAGGGGUUGGUGUGACAAGGAUCGACACCACUGAUGACAGGGCUGAGUCUCCUGCUUGCCAGGACCUGCUGCGGGGCCACUCACAUGCCUUUCCCCAUGCUCACCCCCACUGCUUUCUAUAUUGGCAAAGGCUGAGAGUCCUGCUGAGAGUCUUGGCCUUGCAGAGCAGUCCCUCCCUGCAUACUACAGCAGCAUAGCAAGCCCAACCCGGGUGCCCAGAGCAGCUUCUUGGCCGACUGGGAGAGAAACCCAAGUCCAGAGCUGCUCUCAGAGCCAGCGUUCAUCACGGCCCAGGGCUCUGCUCUGCCCUCUGAUCAGAACGGGGAGAGCAAAGGCAGAAAUGGAGGAUUUUUCUGGGUCCGUGCCAAGGAUAAUCCUUGGCAACCAGUCCCAGACUUAACCUCUGUGCCGUAAAUCCCCAGGCUUUUCUCUAGCCAAGAGAUGUUGGCAAAUACAGGGGGAGGUGCUUGUAAAACAGAAACCACAGCUCUUUUCCAGAGCUUUCCAGAGAGCCCCACCUUGCCCCACUGUCCCUCAGGAGUGGGGAGGGCAGAGAGCUUACCCAAAAUGUUAGCGCUUAACCUUUAACAAUGAAGGGAAACUGUUAACCCUUAACCCUAACCCAAAAUGAUCAUCCUUAGACCUUAACCUAAACAAAAAGGGUACCCCUAAGCCCUAACCCAAAAGUGUAACUGUUAACAAUUAACCCUCACCCAAAGGGGUAACCCUUAACGCUGUAAGCAUAACCCAAAAGCGUAACCCUUAACCCACUGGUGUCCACCCCUUAGGUUUGCCUGGGCCACAUUUAGGGAAUGAAAAUUGCCUUGGGUCACAUAUAUGCAGGUUGCUCCAAAAGUAAUGCCCCCUCUUUAUUUCCAUGGAAACGACAACAGAUACAAGAGCACAAUAACACCAUUCGCUAGAGCAGCUUCUCAGCUACAAAACUGUUAUUGCAACACAGUCGCCGCCAUUAGCUCUGCAUUUUCGCCGAGGUUCGCUGCUUCCGAGCUGUUCCGGCCAGAACCACAGCGACUGACCGCGAGCUGCACGGCGCUUUCGGUCGGUUCCUUUGCCCGGGAGCCCCGAGCUAACGGAGCGGCCCGGCAGCUCUCGCGAGAGUGGCCGAUGUGGCCGUUGCCGGGCCAACGGCUGUGGACCCACGAGCCUUGCCUUAGAGAAAGCGGAGAUACCGUGUGACUGGGAAUGAAGGUGCUCCAGCUUCCCCUCUGAGUUCCAGGACUGAAACUCCGGCAGAUCACAUGGAUAUGUCAUGGCUUUUUAGUUCCUUUGAGAGCUGCCAGCUCAAAGGCCAAAUGUCGGCCAGGUCUGUCUGCAGGUGUGAGAGCGUAGUCCUGUGCGUGUAUGCCCUUUCCUUGCACGAUCCACUGGUAUGCUCCACUAUUCAGUGAUGCCGUUGUGCACGGAAACUUUUCAUGGGUCUUUGGUUGCAGAAGUGCCCCCAGGGAGGGCCUUGCUGGUUUCUCGGCUCCUUCCUGCGAUGGAGACCAGUUGGAAUCCCAUGGGUCCGCAAAGAGGAAACAGAGGAAAGGAUACACCUAGAAGAGGGAAGUACUACUGGUGGUCAUCCCGUGUCCUAAAGGAACCUGUGAAGAAAAUGGAGAAGGCAGCGCAUGGUGGGACUAAAGGGACUGACCAAGAGACUGUGCAGAAGGAGCCAUUGCAGGAAAGCAGCAGUGACACACGGCCAGUCUCUGAUAGAAAAACACAGGCAGAACAAGCAGCUGGAUUGCCAGGGGUGGAUGUUGGGAAAAUCACAACGGCCGCUGUUGGCAAAGAGCUGCGAAAACACCACAUCCCAGUGAUUGCUGUGGUCUCCGCUGUGCUGCUGUCUGUGCUGAUGCUGGCCUGUGUUCCUAUGCUGUGGAUGUGGAAAAAAUAUCUGUGAGUUAGCUUUUCCCCUAGACACUGUAUCGCUGCAUUUGGCUAUGAAGCAUUUGUGGUGACAGGAUCCUUGAUGGCCAAAUCAGCUGCUGGCAGUACACCGCCAGGAUUUAUGUUGCAAGGCCUUUUAAGUGUUCCCUCGAUUCCUAUCAGUGAGUAGUGCUUUCUGAAACUCAUUCCCACAGGGCACGCAAGACAGAGCGGACAGCUGCAAGACAAGCUGACUGGGAGAGAGAUCAAAACAGAGAUGAAGGCAGAGCGGAGCUGGGGGAGGCUGCAAAGGAGGAUGUCCUCGACCAAGGAAAAAUCAUCUCCAGGGCAUUCUCCUGGUCCUUUGAAGCAGAAUUUGCUGACCUGUGCAACAGAAUCAGAGCAGACCCCUCCCUUCAGCCCACGCAUCCCAGCAGCUCUCCUACUGUCAACGUCUCUUCCCUCAGUAGCUGCAGCUCUCAGGAUACCCCUGAGCCAUCCAGUGCCCCUGUUACCGGUGCCAAGAAGGCUCGGGUUCAUUGAAAGGUCCCACUUUGUGAUCAAUAAAGACAUUCCAUUCAAAAGCUGCUGCUGUGACCAUUUCCAUUGAGUUAUAGGGCAUAGGGCUGGGGCCAGCACUUGGUGCAAGGGAAGCAGUCGGAGAGCUGCAUGCCAGGGAGGGCCUCCUUGGUCCCAGCCUCAGCUUGCUUGUCUAACUGGGCGGUCACCCAAGCUCCCAUCAGAGCAGGGAAGUGCUGGGGAGACUUGAUAUGUGAAGAGUUGUCCUUGAGCUCUUCUGGGCUACUGCCCUGAAUCAGGGCAUGCAGGGAGGGAAGGAGGCACUUGGAAGGAAGCACUGAGCGCAUCUAGGAGAACCGACACUGCAGCAGAGGCUGGCAGUACAGUGAAACUGUACAGUGAAGCUGCAACAAAUGGAACGGAACAGAGAAUCUACACAGGGUAAUUGUUGAUGCCUUCAGGAGAGCAGACGACAGCCUGCCCCGUGGCAGUCCCUGUGGAGUCUCACCUCGCACAUUCACUCGCUCACGGACGGAGCUCGUCCCUCAGCACUGCCGAGGACUCUGGCAAGGCUCCUCUCCGCCUUUCACGGAGAGGGUCACCUUCCUCAGCUCGCCCCUUUCUCCCAACCGUUACCGGGAGGGGUGAAUUAAUUUCUUUUUGAUAUCUUUUCCUAUAGCUCCUAUUUCUCAAAUUCAGGCUCUGUCAUUGCCUUCGUUUGUACUACAAGACAGAAGCCCACCCCGCCUACAAGCGAAAAAUGGCUCGGUACCAAACCCCCCUCCCCGUUUUACUGCUCGGCACGAUGCUCUCUGGCCUGGAGCAACUCUUUGGUCAGUUCUGGUCUUCCGCCUGGUUAUGUUCCCUCUCAACUUCAAGCACAUCCCUAAGUCUACUCACCAGGAAGGGUGAGUGAGAAACAGAGGAGUGCUGACAUUCUGCAAGCACUGUUCAGCAACAGCCACAGCAUCGGUGUGCUAUCAACACUGUUUUGGUCACAAAUCUAAAACCCAGCAUUGUCUGAGCUGCAACGGACAACUCCAUCCCAGCCAGACCCACCUGAGUACCUGAGUGUACAUCCCUAUGACUUCCCCUGGCUCUCUCAGCACUCUCAGGCGCAAAACUUCCAGUCCCAGCGGCUGUUCAGCACAGAGGAACUCACGGCUUUAUCUCCACCCAAUGCUGGUUGUUCUCCAUGGCUCUGCCUCAAGGCAGCAGGGCCUGGGAGACCCCGCUAGUAAAGCCCGAGGCAAAAGAGGACACAGACUACAUCUCACCCGUCCGCAGAGUCUCAUUUGGAACUGACCACAUGUCAGUUUUCUUUUUUCCUUGUCUGCAACUUCGCUUAUGCAGCUGUGGCACUGCAGUGACCUGCGAUUCCUUCCUGCGCACACUGACCGUGCAGUGACACAGUAGCUCGCUGUGGUUGAGACCAGCAGCAGCUGAACACCACACACGGCCCUUUGCUCACUGUCCCCUUCUCAGCAGGAUGGGGGAGAGAACUGUAGCAGAGGUAGAGCUCACGGACUGAGAAAAAACUAUUUACUGAGACAGGAAAGUAAGAGCGAGAAAUAACAGUAACGGCAGUAACCAUGUGUGCCUCCACAAAACAAGCGAUGCACACGCAGCUGCUCACCACCCGCCAACUGACACGCAGGCCAGACCCCAAGCUGCGGCCCGCCCCGGCCAACGCUUCUCAGUUUUAGAGUUCCUCAUGUGAUCCCGUAUGCGAUGGAAGACCUCUUUGGUCAGUUGAGCGCAGCUGUCCCGGCUCUGUCCCCUCCCAGCUCCUUGCCCCCCCAGCCCCUCGCUGGCAGGACAGGGCGAGGAGCUGAGAAACUGAAAUCUCCUUGGCUCUGUGCAGCACUGCUCAGCAAAACUAAAACAUGAGUGUGUUAUCGAUAGUCUUCUCCUAAAGCCAAAGCACAGCAUCACACCAGACCCUACAAAGGAAACCAACUUUGUCCCAGCUGAAAGCAGGACACGGAGCAGGGGAAGGGAUUUCCCGAGUUCCCGUAGGAGCUGCAGCAGAUGCGUGUGCUCAGUUUGGCUGGGCAGGUAAUACCAAAAGGAUUAGUCCUGGAGAAUUAACCACAGUGGGUUAUAAGGAUGCAAAGAACAAAACAAAACAAAACAAACAAACAAACAAACAAAAAACCACACUGGGUACAUUUCUGCAAUGAAUAAUUCAAGCCCAAAGCAGACAAAUCUAAUCAAUUGUGAAUUUUCUUCCUCUUCCGAUGGCAUCCACAUUGCAGCACAAUCAAGCUCUCACUUAGGUUCUAACCUGCCUUCUUGAAUUCCCUGUUUCCUUAGGGCCCUUAAUGGUCAAACAUCCCACUAGUUUUAUGUUGCUGUUGCUCUCUGCUGUUUUUAAGCUUUACUAAAAAAUGCAUUAAAAAAAGGUUGGUUACUGAAAUGCCUUAAAUUUAUUAUAUAUUUGAUAUGCGUCCCAAGGCAAUUCCUGUUUGCUCAGUAUGGCCCAUGCAGAUUAAGGCAAAUUAAGAAAUUAAUUCCUGUUUGCUCAGGGCAGCUAAAAGGUUGGAUAGCCAUGAUCUAGAUCCUUCUGCAAGGCCUCUCGGCCCUCCGGGGAGCCUACAGCAGUUAAGUACCAUUAGGAAACUUGCCGAGGACGCACUCCCCUCCUGCACCCAGGUCAUCGAUCAAAGUGUUCGACAGGACCGGCCCGAGAACACUGCGAGUGACCGCACAACCAGGCAGAUAGAGCUGCAUUCACUGUGACUCUUUGAGCUCUGCCAUCAAGCCACUACUUAUCCAGCUCGCAGCUGGAUAACUUGUCCAGAAGGACACUGAG